This 253-nucleotide ribosomal RNA is filed under the name uncultured bacterium. Its description in RNAcentral is "partial 16S ribosomal RNA". It matches the Rfam family "Bacterial small subunit ribosomal RNA", at positions 524 to 776 of the family's 1533-position model. The record is from RNAcentral.
UACGGAGGAUGCAAGCGUUAUCCGGAAUGAUUGGGCGUAAAGCGUCCGCAGGUGGCUGUGUAAGUCUGCUGUUAAAGAGUCUGGCUCAACCAGAUAAAGGCAGUGGAAACUACAUGGCUAGAGUGCGUUCGGGGCAGAGGGAAUUCCUGGUGUAGCGGUGAAAUGCGUAGAUAUCAGGAAGAACACCGGUGGCGAAAGCGGGCUGCUAGGCCGCAACUGACACUGAGGCACGAAAGCUAGGGGAGCGAACGGG